AUAAUUUCCCUCUAGACCUAGCUGCUAUCGAAGCUCCAUCUACAAAUGGAUAAGAUCCCAGCCUAGUCUAUAGGAGGUUUUGAAAAGAAAGGAGCAAUAACCAUUUUCUUGUUCUAUCAAGAGGGUGCUAUUGCUCCUUUCUUUUUUUCUUUACUUUUUCUUUAUUAAUUUCCUAGGAUUUUACUGCCAUAGACUUUUUUGUUUACAUUAUAGAAAAAGAAGGAGAGGGUAUUUGCCUAUAUUUAUUCAUGAUUGAGUAUGCGAUUUUUAUUUUCUAUUUAUUUCAAAUUGUAGAAAUAGAACUUGUUCCUCUUGUUGCUAAUGUUACUAUAUCUUUUUUAUUUCAUUUCACAAAAAAUAGAAUUUUGACUUCAUAUUCUUAUUUUUGAAAUAAUAAUCGAAAUAAUAAUAUCAUUGAAAUAAGAAAGAAGAUAAAUAUUCGAACUUGAAUCUUUUGUUUUCGAAUUUAAAUAAUGUAAAAAUGGAAUGUAAGUAGGCGAGGGGGCGGAUGUAGCCAAGUGGAUCAAGGCAGUGGAUUGUGAAUCCACCAUGCGCG
Molecule: unclassified non-coding RNA, 556 nt
Filed under: Solanum aviculare
Lineage: Eukaryota; Viridiplantae; Streptophyta; Magnoliopsida; Solanales; Solanaceae
Description: partial miscellaneous RNA
Rfam family: tRNA (bases 505-556)
Source: RNAcentral